RNAcentral lists this ribosomal RNA (253 nucleotides) under uncultured bacterium. RNAcentral's name for it is "partial 16S ribosomal RNA". It matches the Rfam family "Bacterial small subunit ribosomal RNA", at positions 524 to 776 of the family's 1533-position model. The record is from RNAcentral.
UACGGGGGGGGCAAGCGUUGUUCGGAAUUACUGGGCGUAAAGGGUUCGUAGGUGGCUUGCUAAGUCAGACGUGAAAUCCCUCAGCUUAACUGGGGAACUGCGUCUGAGACUGGCAAGCUUGAGUGCAGGAGAGGAACGCGGAAUUCCAGGUGUAGCGGUGAAAUGCGCAGAUAUCAGGAGGAACACCGAUGGCGAAGGCAGCUCGCUGGGACGGUACUGACGCUGAGGCGCGAAAGCGUGGGGAGCAAACAGG